AGGUCAGUGUAUGUUGAUCUGCUGCAGUAUUUGCUAUCGCCAGUAGAUGGCAGAGUAGAUUUUCUUUACUACUUUUCAAUUGAAAACUUGUAUUAUACAAAUGAAUAAGGAAAUGACUAAACUAGUGAUAAUAAAAUACUGUGUUCAUAGGAAUUACACAUCUGUUAACAUCCAGAACGCUAUUUCAUAUAUCUUAGGAUGUCAACCAUUAACUGUAUCAUAAAACAUGAGCACACAUGAGCACUGCUUCCAUUUUUAACCUAAGGAGUAGUAUAACCCCCCACCAAAAGGGGGCGCACUAUGCGUUUUAGCAAAUGGAACCCCCCACGAACAAGAAGCCCUUUUCUCCUAGGAUUUCUUCAUGAUACCUGAAGGUCCCGGAUUUCGACGUCCAACUUGAGAGUGUCAACGGAAGUGAUUCCAUAGUUAUCUGCUACUGAAAACUCAGAAGAACCUGAAUCUGAAUGAUGAGAUGGCGCACUUACCCCAGAUCGUGGAUACGGUGUGGCCAACCGUGUAAUCCAGAUCGAACCUGAUUCGUGUAUCGAGAAGACAUCAUACCCCAGUCCUGCCCGUCACGUAGACGGGUAGUACUGAGUAUAGAGACCUAAAGACCCGGACCAGAACGGAACCAUUGAAUCCUCAAGCACACACACUAUUCAAGGACUGUACGGACGAUAUCCAGGGAACUGUACAUAUACACACUGACAGGACUGAAUUAUUUACAAGAUUUAUAUAAUAUUUACUGUUUCUAUUUUGUGCUGUUUAAUACUGUUUUAUACUUUAUAUUGUGAUUGUUCGGUGACUGUUUGUGAAACAAUAAACUGGUCAUUUGUUAAACUUGUU
This is a long non-coding RNA of Limanda limanda (common dab), 846 nucleotides long. RefSeq lists it as uncharacterized. The transcript is spliced from 3 exons. NCBI's taxonomy places the organism in Eukaryota, Metazoa, Chordata, Actinopteri, Pleuronectiformes, Pleuronectidae. The record is from RefSeq and is a predicted model, not a curated record.